Cynocephalus volans (Philippine flying lemur) is the source of this 233-nucleotide long non-coding RNA. RefSeq lists it as uncharacterized. The record is from RefSeq and is a predicted model, not a curated record. The transcript is spliced from 3 exons. NCBI's taxonomy places the organism in Eukaryota, Metazoa, Chordata, Mammalia, Dermoptera, Cynocephalidae.
UGUUGAGGAAGCAGCUGAAGAAGCCCGAGUGGCAGGUUGAGCGCGAGGGUAUCAGCCGCCUUAUUCAGAACUACGAGAAGGUAUGGAUCCGAAUAUUCCCAUAUUACAGAUGAGAAAAUUGAGGCUCCAAGAGGAUACGAAAACUUAUCCCAAGUUCUCACACUUAGCAGAUAAAUGUAAAUGAAAUCACCAGAUUUUCAGAUUUCCCCUUGUCCAAAAAAACAUUGAAAGGU